Small nucleolar RNA from Oncorhynchus kisutch (coho salmon), 68 nucleotides. The record is from Ensembl. Lineage: Eukaryota; Metazoa; Chordata; Actinopteri; Salmoniformes; Salmonidae.
UUUCUGUGAAGAUACCAUGUCCAGUUCUGCUACUGAAUGCUUGUGACGAUAUUCGUGACUCUGAGAAA